AUUUUAUAGGACAGAGUACAGAUAUAGCUGUUCCUCGUAUUUCCAUCUCCAAUUUAUCCCCAAUUCGAUUUCGAUCCCAUCUUGUGUGAUUCUCCAUCCGUGGGUCUUGACUCUUGACACCCUCCCCGUGCCGCACUGCAACGGCCGGUUUCUGCGCCACCCCAGACUAGAGCCCUAGACCGCAUCGCCAUGGAGAAUCGAAGAGGGAAGAAGUUCCUGUUCCCAAUCCAUCCGUCCGGAUGGUCGACAUGAGCUCAGGUCCAACCCUUUACUCGAGAUUAUUCAUUCUUGAUUCGAUGUAUUAGAAUUUCCAGACAAAAGAUGAAAGGAGUAUUAGCAACUUAUUGCCGGACCAAAUCCAUGGAUGGAAGGAUCCGUCGUGGCUUCCACGGGUUCACAGGCUAGGGACCUUCCAAAUGGUGUGAAUGACGAGAAUUGCAGUCACUGCACUUUCACAGCAAGAUGUUGUUCAAGGGACUUCCUUUGCAUGAGAAUUGGCAUUGUUAUCAGGGAAACAAUUGCCGUUUGAGGUCAAGCUAUUUAGUCAGCAAGGAAAAUGUAAGAUUGGAAGUUCACUGAGCGAAAGGAAAGGAAGAGAUGGGUAGUAGAAGACAAAAGAAAUUAGUGUAAAAUUUUACACAAAGCAUCUCAUGUUUCAGGAUAUCAAAGAUGGAUAACCUGUACUGGCCAUAAUCUGUGCUCAACUUAGGACUGGACUAAUAUAAAAUGCAAAAAUAUAUCACACAAAUUAUUGUCGCUGGUGUUUCUUUGACGAACAUAACUUCUGGUGUUACAUAAUUCUAAAGUACAGCACUUAGAUGCUCAUUUUGGGAGCUAAAACAGUUUUGCAAAUUCACCAUUAUUCCAUUGCUUUUCUAGCAGCUACUUCAAAUCAUAAUUUUCCGGUAGUGCUAGGAACGGCUUGAAGGUCAGGAUGAGCCCAAUAAAUUCAACAACAUUCAGAAUAAAGAAUAUGAUUUGAUCCCCUGCAUGAUUAAUGAAAUAAAUCUUCUGUUAUUAUUUGCUAGCACACAUACGUGUAGUACAGUUGUGCCACACAAGAUCAAAUAAAAAAACAUAGAGUUGGUAAAAGAAGAAAUAUAACUUAUAUUUAUAGACAUACCUGGAAGGAAGGAAGCAUCUUGACGCUUUUGAGCCCAUGAGAACCUACAUUCAGAAAACUCACAAAUAAGAUUUGUCUUAAAUAUAUGCACCACUUGCAUCUAAACCUAAUACCAACUUGUGGUACUAAAAAAGGUACUACCACACUUACAGAUGACAUAUAUCAUUUUUAUUAUGCAUAACAUUUUAUAUUGUAAUUUUAUCUGUGAACUCAGCAUUCUUAUUAUUUCCAAUUUUUACUAAAUUUAGAUGUCAUGUAUGUGCUAAGCUUAUAGGAGCUCUGCUUCGUAAGGAUACUGUAAUUGUUAGGCUUUACAUGUCAUGUGCAAUUUAUGUUUUUUAACACAUUAAUUCGUAUUCAAAGGAAAUCUGAAUAUCUGACUGAGAUAACUCACAAAGCGCCUGCUCCUGCUGGACCAAUAGCCUUGAAGAAGGACAUUGCAGUUGCAGAUAUGCCAUUUGCAGCACCUCUUUGACUUUGUGGCUGUUUUUUGGAGAUCUUCGAUCUAUUGUCAAGAGAAGCCAAACUUAAAUAACAUACGGGAAGAGUGGAGUCGAAGGUCAGACUCAGUUUCAGUGAACUGCUGCUCUGAUAUGCAAAAAAUACCAAGCAUUUAUAUUGUAUUUUUGACAAAUUCAUACUUGUAUAUUGGAUUCGAAAAUUUAUAGUGUCUAACAACAGGUACGAAGCGUUUAUAUUGUACUUUUGACAAAUUCAAACUUGUAUAUUGGAUUCGAAAAAUUAUAGUGUCUAACAGCAGGUGCCAGCAGACACGUGGUUGGACACAAGACCGCUUAGCAAACAAUUCCCCUCAUUGUAUAAUAUAGUAAGGAGGAAGUAAGACAUUAUAGCAAACGUAAUGAGUUCAAUAUCUCUAAAUAUUUCUUUCCACAGAUCUAUUGUUAGUGACAGAUUAAUUGCUUGGUAUAUGUUAGUGGCUAAAAUAAUUAUUGUUGAAUUAACAAACGAAGCAGAUAAGUUUCGAUGGGGCCUACCGCCUACAUGCCAAUGGCCUUUUUCGGUACAAUCAAUGUACAAUAGGAUGAUUCAUCGACCCGUUUUCUUUCAGUCACAUUGGCUUUGGAAGCUUAAGAUACCGCUCAAAAUUAAAAUUUUCUUGUGGUAUUUAGCUAGAGGAGUACUUUUGAACAAAGAUAAUCUAAUCAAAAGAAAAUAGGAUGGGAACCUCAAAUGCUGCUUCUGUAACCGCAAUGAGAGCAUUGAACACUUAUUUUUCAAGUGUCACUUUGCUAAGUCGAUUUGAAGAAUUGUUCAGAUUGCUUUAUGCAUUAUCAUGCCAAAGAACGUGAAUCAUAUU
This is a long non-coding RNA of Phragmites australis (common reed), 2441 nucleotides long. RefSeq lists it as uncharacterized. The record is from RefSeq and is a predicted model, not a curated record. NCBI's taxonomy places the organism in Eukaryota, Viridiplantae, Streptophyta, Magnoliopsida, Poales, Poaceae. The transcript has 4 exons.